Molecule: long non-coding RNA, 896 nt
Filed under: Homo sapiens (human)
Lineage: Eukaryota; Metazoa; Chordata; Mammalia; Primates; Hominidae
Description: HSALNT0124528
Source: RNAcentral
CAUGUUGGCCAGGCUGGUCUGGAACUCCUGACCUGAAGUGAUCUGCCCACCUCGGCUUCCCAAAGUGCUGGGACUGCAGGUGUGAGCCACUGCGCCUGGCCCCUUCAGGUGGGUUUUGAGGCUUCACGUUGCUGCUGCAAUAAAUUACCACACACUUAGUGGCUUAAAACAGCACAGAGGUAUUCCCUUACAUUUCUGAAGGCCAGAAUUCUAAAAUCAGUCCCACUGAGUCAAGGUGGGAGCAGGGUCAGUGCCUUCCCAGGCUCUGCGGGAGAAUCUGUUUCCUGGCCCUGGAGGCGGCCUGUACUCCUUAGCUUGUGCUGCCCUUCUGGAAUGACUCGAGUUUCCUGCUUUCAUCACUACACCUCCCACCGCUCUCCAUCACCUGCUGUGCUCUUACGAGGAUCCAGCUGAGACAUGUUUUAGGAAGUUUGCUAAAAGACCCCUGGAGACGUCCUCAUUGUGGCCUCCCUGCUGUUGUGUUUAAUUUGGUUGAUCUUCUCUGCCCUCCUGCUUUUCAGAAUUAAAAGGCUAAAAAGAGGUACUAAACUUUAAAACUUCUCUUAUAGUCUCCCUUUAAAGUAAUUCUAAGAACCACCAAAAAGGGGAAAAUUUUUUUCGAAAGCAGUAAAAUGAUAUGGUUUGUUAGGAUGUAAAAUAUAGAAAAUAAGUCAUUAUAUGUUAUUGCUGCUCUGACAUAGGGAUGUAUUGAGAAUCAACUUUUGGUCAGUUUUCAGAGAAAUGGAAUAAUUGUAUUGCUGAUCUACGUAAACAAGUUGAAGAAUUGUCUGAAAGAAAAUAUGGUGUGUCUGAACUGGAAAAGUCCUGUGAUAGUUUGUUCAUGAGCAUUUACACAAUGGAGUUACUGUUCAUCAUGGGGGUACUGUGGACAAGCC